UAAGCUGAAGCCGCCUCCGAUAAAUGCCCGAACCGCCAGCCGGUUCUACUCUAUAUUGAAGACUUAAGGCAUCUAUAUUGCCGCCCGCUUGUUGAACCGGUUUCUUGCUUGAUGCAAGUUGUGUUGUCACCUGGUUAUUAUGCUGCUGCUGUACCAGCAUAUCAGUAUGGUUUGUCUAAAGAUGUUGCCGACUAAAUAAAAAUCCGUAUCGUUUGGCUAUGACUCUCAUUUUGGUCCCAACUUUCGUUUCCUUCCGUUGUCGUGAUUGUGGAUGCUUGUUUGGUUGUUCGUCUGAUGAGCCUAAUGUGCUGCACGCUGGUCGCUGAUGUGUGGUCCGUGUCGUCUUGGCGGACCCGUAGUCGGCAGAAGCAUCCGGCACGAACCAAAUCUGUAGCUCGUCAGACAAGGACGAGUCGUCUGACACCACACCGCUUAGGCCUUCCACUAUGUGGGCUAAAAGAGGUGUCAAAACCAGUUUUCCCUCAUUUGGCACCGAUGCCUUCCAUAGCCUAGCCGGUGCCAUAAAAAUAUUCCAGGGAACCGGAGCAAGUGGCUGCUCCGGUGCCCACUUCAAGCACUACAAUAAAAUAUAUUAAAGUAUAACUGCCAUCUCUAGAGAAGCAUUCCUACCCAAACCACCACCGAGCAACAUCAUUCAAUCCAUACCAAACAGCAUUCAAGUUACAGCAAACCAGAGCACCCAAAUUUUCAGAUGACCGUUGCACUGCAAUAGAAAAAUCUGUCCGUUUGGAGAAUAUGUCUAUAAAAUAUACAGAACAAGCUCGUAGAAGCACAAGAAGAUCUUGGAAAAACUCUCCCCCAAAACAUGAAGCACUCAUCUUCAAGCAUGAUGAACUCCUCCUUCCCACCUUCAGAUGCACAGAGCCCAAAUAACCUACAAAAUCCACAGAGCCCAGUUAGUUUGCAGUACAAUUCUAGUUUCCAUCCCCAUUUCUAGUUUCCAUCCCCAUCAUCCACAUAUGAAUUAUCUACCCACACAAUAUAUUCCCAGUUUCCAGCAUCAACACCCACACCAUGCAAAUUUAUAUGCUCAAGGAGGUUACCAGCAAGUUCCAUCCAUACCUCCAGGCUACCAUGGUGUUGCUUCCCAAGGUAACAUGGGGCAGUACCCUCCAGGAGCAUUUGGAGCAGGCUCAAGUAGCAGUCCAGCUUCUCCUGCUGAUGCAUACCUUUUCUUGGAUCUGCUAGAGGCACUAGUUCAAGAGGAGAUGAGAACAGUCCAGUUGGAUUUAGUUCUCCCAUGUCACCUGCAUAUCAAGUGGAUGAAGAUCCGACUGUCAAUAAUCAAGAUGGCAGUGAUAGUAGUCCUGAUGAGAUUCAGAAAAAAGGAAAAGGCAAGAACUGGAGUAAGCGUGAGGAUGAACUUCUCAUAGCAGCUUGGGUGCACAAUUCAUGUGAUCCGAUUGAUGGAAACUCCAAAAGGGCAGAGACCUAUUGGAAGGAAGUCGCAGCAGAGUACAACAAAUAUGCAACGAAAGAGCAGAAGAAAACAGUUGGGCAAUGCAAGAACCACUGGACCAAGACCACAAAGAAGGUUACAAAGUUCAAUGGUAUCUACAAUGUUGAAAAAAGUACAUGGCCUAGUGGGAGCGAUGACAAGCAACUUAUGGAGAGGGUACGUGCCAAAUACAUGAGUGUUGCCAAGACAAAAAGACCCUUUCCAUAUGAGCACUGGUGGGAGUACGUGAGGAAAGAGGCUAAAUGGAGAAGGUCUUAUUCAGUUGAAGAGAUGAACAAAAGAAACAAGUUGAAUGCAUCAGGAGCUUAUAGUUCUCCAACCCAGGCAAUAGAUGAGGAAGGUGAACUUCAACGGCCCCCGAGACGCAACACUUCAAAAGACGCAAAAGAUAAACAGAAGUCAUCAAGCAAGUCUAAAUGCUCUGGAAGCUUGACAAGUGAGAGUGUGGACAAAUUUAAUGAGAUUCAACUAAGAAAAUCAAUUGCUGCAGAGAAAAUGGCCGACGCCACCCUUAUUCAAGCACAAGCCACAAAAGUUCAAGCAGAAGCUGAGAAAGAAAGAGUUGAAACUGAGAAGGAGAAGAUAAAGGUGGACAAACUGAGCAAAUACCUUGAUCUUCUUCACAAAGAUACUUCAGCUUAUGAUGAUGCCCAAAAGAAAAGACAUGAACAAGUUCACUUUGAAGUCAAUCACAAUAAGUAUAACUUGGGAUACUACCUAGUAGAUGGCAUUUAUCCGGAAUGGGCGACAUUUGUGAAAUCAUCUAUAAGUUCUACAUGAAUUCAUCUUACUAAUUUCUACCCCUUUCUACUUUAGUUUUCCAGUCGAGCAUCUUCUUUGUAAUUGUGUAAUUUAGUUUACAAAUUGUGGAAUGAGAACAUUUUAUUAUUAUUUCUUGCUGCUAAAUUUUAUUAUUUCUUGCUGCUAAAUGCAAUGUUGAACACUACCUUCAAUUUUUAAGAACAGGAAACUAGCAUCACUGACAUUAUUAACUAGUACUACACUACAUGCAAGUAUAGCACGUCCUAAUAGACAGAGCUUCAUAGGCCGAACAUUACAAUGUCUUAACUGAAUCCAGUAAAACAUUUUUGUUUGCUUCAUAGGCUGAACAUCACGCAUCCUCACCUAUGCUGCUUCGAGACCAGUAGAGGCAGCGCAGUAGUAGAAAGUAGUAGAUGCAGCGCAGUAGCCGCCCAUCCAGCAGUCCGGGCAGCGCUAGCCACAACAUACUGCUGGCCCGCCUCCGCCUCCUGCUUCCUCCUCCUCGUCCAUGGAGCUCGUCCCCCGCCGCACAUCACCUCCACUAGCCGCGGCGCCUCGGAGAACCUCAACAGAUUCCUCCUCUCGCGCCUCCGCUCUGCCCGGACCUUGGGCCGACGAACACCUUGCCUAGAGUAGGAGAUGCGUGUCGAUUUGGCCUAGAUCUACGCCGGAUCGAGACGAGUAGGUGACGAUGGAGAUGGAUCUGGUCGGAGGAGAAAGGGGAUUUUUUCUGGACAGAGGCGGACGAGAGGAACUCGCGUGAAGGAUUGAGGAGAGGUUGGCUUGCUCAAUUUCUUUAUGGACGUGUGGGUCCCGCUUUCCUAUGGGCUGCAAACGCACAUUGUGAGGCCGGUGCCAAUUUUUUUUGUAAGGGCAUCGAUGCCCAGUCUGCUAUAUUUUAGUGCACCGGGCACAUAGUGGAAGGCCUUAGGGGACGCUUAUCUCAAGGCGUGAGGUCGACACUGUAGUUAACCAUGUGAAGUCACGGAGGGCAGCGAUCUGCGCCGGCGCACCGGCGCAACGGUUCGGCCGGUCGAGCCCGAGCCGUCCGAUGCGAUUAGCGCGAACCGUUAGAUCUGCGCGCGAGUGUGUACCGAGCCAACCGUUGCAGCAAAAAAACACAUUUUGUUGCAACCGUUGUACAAACAACCACAACGAGAAAAACAGGGGAGCUGGAUCCCCCGCGUCUGCCCGUCCCCGAUCCACGGCGGCAGCGGCCGGAUCCGCCUGUUUUAAGUUCUCCACGGCUGAAUCACGUCGAGGAGGGGCUUCCCCAUCUAUCAAGCGGCCUUGGAAUUGCUUCAACCAUGUCUUACAUCUGUAAUGACCUCCUUGCCUCCAUGGAUUUGGGCUCGAGCUCCACUGCCGUUCAUGGCCGAAGUCCCCUGAGGCGGCAAGGCCCUGGUGGUAGUGGACCGGUGCUGCAACGGUACUACAACCCUGGUGUGGUCUUUCAAGAUGCAGCACGGCAUGGCCGGGAUGAAAUUGAUUUGGUAUGAUUUCCCAAUUGCAACCCUAGAUCCUUUUGUUCACAAAAAAAUGUUGCAACAUUUGAUUUCAAUUGAUGAGCAUGAGAUUAAAAAGAGAUGUUCUCAACGUACUUGUGUUUGAUUUUUGUGUAAUGUUUCUGAUAUGUUGUCAAUUAAUGGUAGCAUCUUCCUGCUGUCUGCUAGUAAAAUGUUACAAGUAUGUGUUGCACUUGCUACGUGCUACUUGCUGGAUGUUACAUGCUACAUCCUAAAAUGCUGCAUGCAGGAGUUGUUUUGGAAUUGUGAUUGACAUGCUGCAUCCACUUUUUUGUUCGCGUUUUUUGUUGGGGAACGUGUUAGGUUUCGUAGUAAUUUCAAAAAAAAUUUCCUACGCGCACACAGGAUCAUGUGAUGCAUAGCAACGAGAGGAGAGUGUUGUCUACGUACCCAACGCAGACCGACUGCGGAAGCAAUGACACGACGUAGAGGAAGUAGUCGUACGUCUUCACGAUCCAACCGAUCAAGCACCGAAACUACGGCACCUCCGAGUUCGAGCACACGUUCAGCUCGAUGACGAUCCCCGGACUCCGAUCCAGCAAAGUGUCGGGGAAGAGUUUCGUCAGCACGACGGCGUGGUGACGAUCUUGAUGAACUACAGCAGCAGGGCUUCGCCUAAACUCCGCUACAGUAUUAUCGAGGAAUAUGGUGGCAGGGGGCACCGCACACGGCUAAGGAAUCGAUCACGUGGAUCAACUUGUGUCAACUUGUGUGUUUAGAGGUGCCCCUGCCUCCGUAUAUAAAGGAGGAGAGGAGGGGAGGCUGGCCGGCCAAAGAGGGAGGCGCAGGAGAGUCCUACUCCCUCUGGGAGUAGGAUUCCUCCCCCCAAUCCUAGUCCAACUAGGAUUCCUCGGAGGGGAAGGGAGAGAGGGGGGCCGGCCACCUUCUCCUAGUCCUAAUAGGACUAGGGGAGGGGAAAGAGGCGCAGCCACCUUGGGCUGCCCCUUUCUCCUUUCCACUAAGGCCCAUGAUGGCCCAUAUGGCUCCCGGGGGGUUCCGGUAACCUCCCGGUAACCCGGUAAAAUCCCGAUUUCACCCGGAACAAUUCCGAUGUCCAAACAUAGGCUUCCAAUAUAUCAAUCUUUACGUCUCGACCAUUUCGAGACUCCUCGUCAUGUCCGUGAUCACAUCCGGGACUCCGAACAACCUUCGGUACAUCAAAAUGCAUAAACUCAUAAUAUAACUGUCAUCGUAACCUUAAGCGUGCGGACCCUACGGGUUCGAGAACAAUGUAGACAUGACCGAGACAUGUCUCUGGUCAAUAACCAAUAGCGGGACCUGGAUGCCCAUAUUGGCUCCUACAUAUUCUACGAAGAUCUUUAUCGGUCAGACCGCAUAACAACAUACGUUGUUCCCUUUGUCAUCGGUAUGUUACUUGCCCGAGAUUCGAUCGUCGGUAUCCAAUACCUAGUUCAAUCUCGUUAACGGCAAGUCUCUUUACUCGUUCCGUAAUACAUCAUCUCACAACUAACAUAUUAGUUGUAAUACUUGCAAGGCUUAUGUGAUGUGUAUUACCGAGAGGGCCCAGAGAUACCUCUCCGACAAUCGGAGUGACAAAUCCUAAUCUCGAAAUACGCCAACCCAACAUCGACCAUUGGAGACACCUGUAGUACUCCUUUAUAAUCACCCAUUUACGUUGUGACGUUUGGUAGUACCCAAAGUGUUCCUCCGGUAAACGGGAGUUGCAUAAUCUCAUAGUCGUAGGAACAUGUAUAAGUCAUGAAGAAAGCAAUAGCAACAUACUAAACGAUCAGGUGCUAAGCUAAUGGAAUGGGUCAUGUCAAUCAGAUCAUUCUACUAAUGAUGUGACCUCGUUAAUCAAAUAACAACUCAUUGUUCAUGGUUAGGAAACAUAACCAUCUUUGAUUAACGAGCUAGUCAAGUAGAGGCAUACUAGUGACACUCUGUUUGUCUAUGUAUUCACACAUGUAUUAUGUUUCCGGAAAAUACAAUUCUAGCAUGAAUAAUAAACAUUUAUCAUGAUUAUAAGGAAAUAAAUAAUAACUUUAUUAUUGCCUCUAGGGCAUAUUUCCUUCAGAACGUAGCAGAAAUUCAAAAAAUUUCCUACGUAACACCAAGAUCUAUCUAUGGAGAGACCAGCAACGAGUAGAAUGAGAGUGCAUCUACAUACCCUUGUAGAUCGCUAAGCGGAAGCGUUCAAGUGAACGGGGUUGAUGGAGUCGUACUCGUCGUGAUUCAAAUCACCGAUGAUCAAGUGCCGAACGGACGACACCUCCGCGUUCAACACACGUACAGCCCGGUGACGUCUCCCAUGCCUUGAUCCAGCAAGGAGAGAGGGAGAGGUUGAGGAAGACUCCAUCCAACAGCAGCACAACGGCGUGGUGGUGGUGGAGGAGCGUGGCAAUCCCGCAGGGCUUCGCCAAGCACCAUGGGAGAAGAGGAGGAGGGAGAGGGGCAGGGCUGCACCAACGAGAGAUCAAAUCGCGUGUUAUGGGCAGCCCCAUGCCUCAAUAUAUAUAGGGGAAGGGGAGGGCUGCGCCCCCUUUAGGGUUUCCCACCCCCAAGGGGUGCGGCCAGCCCUAGAUGGGAAAGGGGCGGCGGCCAAGGGAGGAUUCCCUCCCCCCCAAGGCACCUAGGAGGUGCCUUCCCCUCCUAGGACUCUUCCUUAGGGUUCCCCUUUGACCCUAGGCGCAUGGGCCAUGAGGGAAGUGGCGCCCCAGCCCACUUUAGGCUGGAUCCCUUCCCACUUCAGCCCAUGUGGCCCCCCAGGGCAGGUGGCCCCACCCGGUGGGCCCCCGGGACCCUUCCGGUGGUCCCGGUACAAUACCGAUGACCCCGAAACUUGUCCCGAUGGCCGAAACAGGACUUCCUAUAUAUAAAUCUUUACCUCCGGACCAUUCCGGAACUCCUCGUGACGUCCGGGAUCUCAUCUGGGACUCCGAACAACAUUCGGUAACCAUAUACAAGCUUCCUUUAUAACCCUAGCGUCAUCGAACCUUAAGUGUGUAGACCCUACGGGUUCGGGAGACAUGCAGACAUGACCGAGACGUUCUCCGGUCAAUAACCAACAGCAGGAUCUGGAUACCCAUGUUGGCUCCCACAUGUUCCACGAUGAUCUCAUCGGAUGAACCACGAUGUCAAGGACUCAAUCGAUCCCGUAUACAAUUCCCUUUGUCUAGCGGUAUUUUACUUGCCCGAGAUUCGAUCGUCGGUAUACCGAUACCUUGUUCAAUCUCGUUACCGGCAAGUCACUUUACUCGUUCCGUAACACAUCAUCCCGUGAUCAACUCCUUGGUCACAUUGCGCAUAUGAUGAUGUCCUACCGAGUGGGCCCAGAGAUACCUCUCUGUUUACACGGAGUGACAAAUCCCAGUCUUGAUCCGCAUAAAACAAUAGAUACUUUCGGAGAUACCUGUAGUGCACCUUUAUAGUCACCCAGUUACGUUGUGACGUUUGAUACACUCAAAGCACUCCUACGGUAUCCAGGAGUUACACGAUCUCAUGGUCGAAGGAAGAGAUACUUGACAUUGGCAAAGCUCUAGCAAAUGAACUACACGAUCUUUUGUGCUAGUCUUAGGAUUGGGUCUUGUCCAUCACAUCAUUCUCCUAAUGAUGUGAUCCCGUUAUCAACGACAUCCAAUGUCCAUAGCCAGGAAACCAUGACUGUCUGUUGAUCACAACGAGCUAGUCAACUAGAGGCUUACUAGGGACAUAUUGUGGUCUAUGUAUUCACACGUGUAUUACGAUUUCCGGAUAAUACAGUUAUAGCAUGAAUAAAAGACAAUUAUCAUGAACAAAGAAAUAUAAUAAUAACUUAUUUAUUAUUGCCUCUAGGGCAUAUUUCCAACAGUCUCCCACUUGCACUAGAGUCAAUAAUCUAGUUCACAUCGCCAUGUGAUUAACACUCACAGGUCACAUCGCCAUGUGACUAAUACCCAAGAGUUUACUAGAGUCAGUAGUCUAGUUCACAUCACUAUGUGAUUAACACUCAAUGAGUUUUAUGUUUGAUCAUGUUGCUUGUGAGAGAGGUUUUAGUCAACGGGUCUGAACCUUUCAGAUCCGUGUGUGCUUUACAAAUCUCUAUGUCAUCUCCUAGAUGCAGCUACCACGCUCUAUUUGGAGCUAUUCCAAACAACUGUUCUACUUGGAGCUAUUCUAAAUUAUUGCUCCAUUAUAUGUAUCCGGUCUCUCUACUCAGAGCUAUCCGGAUAGGUGUCAAGCUUGCAUCGUCGUAACCUUUACGACGAACUCUUUUACCACCUCCAUAAUCGAGAAAAUUUCUUAGUCCACUAGUUACUAAGGAUAACUUUGACCGCUAUCCUGUGAGCCAUUCUUGGAUCACUCUUGUACCCCUUGACUGACUCAUGGCAAGGCACACUUCAGGUGCGGUACACAGCAUAGCAUACUGAAGAGCCUACGUCUUAAGCAUAGGGGACGACCUUCGUCCUUUCUCUCUAUUCUGCCGUGGUCGAGCUUUAAGUCUUAACUUCAUACCUUACAACUCAGGCAAGAACUCCUUCUUUGACUGGUCCAUCUUGAACACCUUCAAGAUCAUGUCAAGGUAUGUGCUCAUUUGAAAGUAUUAUUAAGCAUUUUGAUCUAUCCUUAUAGAUCUUGAUGCUCAAUGUUCAAGUAGCUUAAUCCAGGCUUUCCAUUGAAAAACACUUUCAAAAUAACCCUAUAUGCUUUCUAGAAAUUCUACAUCAUUUCUGAUCAUCAAUAUGUCAACAACAUAUACUCAUCAGAAAUUCUAUAGUGCUCCCACUCACUUCUUUGGAAAUACAAGUUUCUCAUAAACUUUGUACAAACCCAAAAUCUUUGAUCAUCAUCAAAGCAUAUAUUCCAACUCCGAGAUGCUCACUCCAGUCCUUAGAAGGAUCGCUGGAGCUAGCAUACCUUUUAGCAUCCUUAGGAUCGACAAAACUUUUCUGAUUGUAUUGCAUACAACCUUUCCUUACGAAACUGGUAAGGAAACUUGUUUUGACAUCCAUCUGCCAGAUUUCAUAAAUGCAGCUAAUGCUAACAUGAUUCCGACGGACUUAAGCAUCGCUACGGAUGAGAAAAUCUCAUCGUAGUCAACUCCUUGAACUUGUGAAAAACUCUUCUCCACAAGUCGAGCUUCAUAGACGGUGACAUCACCAUCCACGUCCGUCUUCUUCUUAAAAGAUCCAUUUAUAUCAAUGGAUUGCCGAUCAUCGGGCAAGUCCAUCAAAGUCCAUGCUUUGUUCUGAUAUAUGGAUACUAUCUCGGAUUUCAUGGCUUCUAACCAUUUGUCGGAAUUCGGGCCCACCAUCGCUUCUCCAUAGCUCGUAGGUUCAUUGUUGUCUAGCAACAUGACCUUCAAGACAGGAUCACCUUACCACUCCGAAGUAGUACGUGUCCUUGUCGUCCUACGAGGUUCGGUAGUGACUUGAUCCGAAGCUUCAUGAUCACUAUCAUAAGCUUCCACUUCAAUUGGUGUAGGUGCCACAGGAACAACUCCCUGUGCCCUGUCACACACUAGUUGAAGAGACGGUUCAAUAACCUAAUCAAGUCUCCACCAUCCUCCCACUCAAUUCUUUCGAGAGAAACUUUUCCUCGAGAAAGGACCCGAUUCUAGAAACAAUCCAUAUUGCUUUCGGAUCUGAAUUAGGAGGCAUACCCAACUGCUUUGGGUGUCCUAUGAAGAUGUAUUUUAUCCGCUUUGGGUUCGAGCUUAUCAACCUGAAACUUUUUCAUAUAAGCGUCGCAGCCCCAAACUUUUAAGAAACGACAACUUAGGUUUCUCUAAACCAUAAUUCAUACGGUGUCAUCUCAACGGAAUUACGUGGUGCCUUAUUUAAAGUGAAUGUGGUUGUCUCUAAUGCCUAACCCAUGAACGAUAGUGGUAAUUCGAUAAGAGACAUCAUGGUACGCACCAUAUCCAAUAGGGUGCAACUAUGAUGUUCGGACACACCAUCACAUUAUGGUGUUCCAGGCGGUAUUAAUUGCGAAACAAUUUCCACAAUGUCUUAAUUUUGUGCCAAAACUCGUAACUCAGAUAUUCAUCUCUAUGAUCAUAUCAUAGACAUUUUAUCCUCUUGUCACAAUGAUCUGCUACUUCACUCUGAAAUUACUUGAACCAUUCAAUAAUUCAGACUUGUGUUUCAUCAAGUAAAUAUUCUCAACAUCUACUCGAAUCAUCUGUGAAGUAAGAACAUAACGAUAUUCACUGCAUGCCUCAGCAUUUAUUGGACUGCACACAUCAAAAUGUGUUACUUCCAACAAGUUGCUAUCUUGUUCCAUCUUAUUGAAACCGAGGCUUUUCAGUCAUCUUGCCUAUGUGGUAUGAUUUGCAUAUCUCAAGUGAUUCAAAAUCAAGUGAGUCCGAACGAUCCAUCUGCAUGGAGUUUCUUCAUGCGUAUACACCAAUAGACAUGGUUCGCAAACUUUUCUAAAACGAGUGAGUCCAAAGAUCCAUCAACAUGGAGCUUCUUCAUGCGUUUUAUACCAUUAUGACUUACAUGGCAGUGCCACAAGUAAGUGGUACUAUCAUUACUAUCUUAUAUCUUUUGGCAUGAAAAUGUGUAUCACUACGAUCGAGAUUCAAUAAACCAUUCAGGUUUAAUACUAAUCUUGAUGGUAGAGGGAGCGUGCGAUGUUUGAUCACAUCAAGCUUGGAAACACUUCCAACAUAUAUCGUCAGCUCACCUUUAGCUAGUCUCCGUUUUAUUCCGUAGCUUUUAUUUCGAGUUACUAACACUUAGCAACCGAACCGGUAUCUAAUACCCUGGUGCUACUAGGAGUACUAGUAAAGUACACAUUAACACAAUGUAUAUCCAAUAUACUUCUAUCGACCUUGCCAGCCUUCUCAUCUACCAAGUAUCUAGGGUAAUCCUGCUCCAGUGGUUGUUCCCCUUAUUACAGAAGCACUUAGUCUCGGGUUUGGGUUCAACCUCGGGUUUCUUCAUUGGUGCAGCAGCUGAUUUGUCGUUUCAUGAAGUAUCCCUUCUUUCCCUUGCCCUUCUUGAAACUAGUGGUUUCAUCAACCAUCAACAAUUGAUGCUCCUUCUUGAUUUCUACUUUCGCGAUGUCAAACAACGCGAAUACCUCAAGGAUCAUCAUCUCUAUCCUUGAUAUGUUAUAGUUCAUCACGAAGCUCUAGCAGCUUGGUGGUAAUGACUUCGGAGAAACUAUCACUAUUUCAUCUGGAAGAUCAACUCCCACUUGAUUCAAGUGAUUGUUGUACUCAGACAAUCUGAGCACAAGCUCAACGAUUGAGCUUUUCUCCCUUAGUUUGCAGGCUAAGAAAAUCGUCGGAGGUCUCAUACCUCUUGACGUGGGCACGAGCCUGAAAUCCCAAUUUCAGCCCUCGAAACAUCUCAUAUGUUCCGUGACGUUUCGAAAACGUCUUUAGUGCCUCAACUCUAAACCGUUUAACUGAACUAUCAAGUAGUUAUCAAAACGUGUAUGUCCGAUGUUCACAACAUCCACAAACGACGUUUGGGGUUCAGCACACUGAGCGGUGCAUUAAGGACAUAAGCUUUCUACUGAUCGCAUAAUCGCUACUAUCAACUUUCAACUAUAUUUUCUCUAGGAACAUAUCUAAAACAGUAGAACUAAAGCGCGAGCUACGACAUAAUUUGCAAAAGGUCUUUUGACUAUGUUCAGGAUAAUUAAGUUCAUCUUAUGAACUCCCACUUAGAUAGACAUCCCUCUGGUCAUCUAAGUGAUCACAUGAUCCGAGUCAACUAGGCCGUGUCCGAUCAUCACGUGAGACGGACUAGUCAUCAUCGGUGAACAUCUUCAUGUUGAUCGUAUCUACUAUACGACUCAUGCUCGACCUUUCGGUCUCCGUGUUCCGAGGCCAUGUCUGUACAUGCUAGGCUCGUCAAGUUAACCCUAAGUGUUUUCGCUGUGUAAAACUGUCUUACACCCGUUGUAUGUGAACGUAAGAAUCCAUCACACCCGAUCAUCACGUGGUGCUUAGAAGCGAUGAACUGUAGCAACGGUGCACAGUUAGGGGAGAACACUUCUUGAAAUUUUGUAAGGGAUCAUCUUAUUUACUACCGUCGUCCUAAGUAAACAAGAUGCAUAAACAUGAUAAACAUCACAUGCAAUCAAAUAGUGACAUGAUAUGGCCAAUAUCAUUUUGCUCCUUUUGAUCUUCAUCUUCGGGGCUCCAUGAUCAUCUUGUCACCGGCAUGACACCAUGAUCUCCAUCAUCGUGUCUUCAUGAAGUUGUCACGCCAACGACUACUUCUACUUCUAUGACUAACGCGUUUAGCAAUAAAGUAAAGUAGUUUACAUGGCGUUCUUCAAUGACACGCAGGUCAUACAAUAAAUAAAGACAACUCCUAUGGCUCCUGCCGGUUGUCAUACUCAUCGACAUGCAAGUCGUGAAUCCUAUUACAAGAACAUGAUCAAUCUCAUACAUCACAUAUCAUUCAUCACAUUCUUCUUGGCCAUAUCACAUCACAUAGCAUACCCUGCAAAAACAAGUUAGACGUCCUCUAAUUGUUGUUGCAUGUUUUACGUGGCUGCUAUGGGUUUCUAGCAAGAACGUUUCUUACCUACGCAAAACCACAACGUGAUAUGCCAAUUGCUAUUUACCCUUCAUAAGGACCCUUUUCAUCGAAUCCGUUCCGACUAAAGUGGGAGAGACUGGCACCCGCUAGCCACCUUAUGCACCAAAGUGCAUGUCAAUCGGUGGAACCUGUCUCACGUAAGAGUACGUGUAAGGUCGGUCCGGGCCGCUUCAUCCCACAAUACCGUCGAAACAAGAUUGGACUAGUAACGGUAAGCAUAUUGAACAACAUCAACGCCCACAACUACUUUGUGUUCUACUCGUGCAAAGAAUCUACGCAAUAGACCUAGCUCAUGAUGCCACUGUUGGGGAACGUAGCCGAAAUUCAAAAAUUUUCCUACGUAACACCAAGAUCUAUCUAUGGAGAGACCAGCAACGAGUAGAAUGAGAGUGCAUCUACAUACCCUUGUAGAUCGCUAAGCGGAAGCGUUCAAGUGAACGGGGUUGAUGGAGUCGUACUCGUCGUGAUUCAAAUCACCGAUGAUCAAGUGCCGAACGGACGGCACCUCCGCGUUCAACACACGUACAGCCCGGUGACGUCUCCCAUGCCUUGAUCCAGCAAGGAGAGAGGGAGAGGUUGAGGAAGACUCCAUCCAACAGCAGCACAACGGCGUGGUGGUGGUGGAGGAGCGUGGCAAUCCCGCAGGGCUUCACCAAGCACCAUGGGAGAAGAGGAGGAGGGAGAGGGGCAGGGCUGCACCAACGAGAGAUCAAAUCGCGUGUUAUGGGCAGCCCCAUGCCUCAAUAUAUAUAGGGGAAGGGGAGGGCUGCGCCCCCUUUAGGGUUUCCCACCCCCAAGGGGUGCGGCCAGCCCUAGAUGGGAAAGGGGCGGCGGCCAAGGGAGGAUUCCCUCCCCCCCAAGGCACCUAGGAGGUGCCUUCCCCUCCUAGGACUCUUCCUUAGGGUUCCCCUUUGACCCUAGGCACAUGGGCCAUGAGGGAAGUGGCGCCCCAGCCCACUUUGGGCUGGAUCCCUUCCCACUUCAGCCCAUGUGCCCCCCCGGGGCAGGUGGCCCCACCCGGUGGGCCCCCGGGACCCUUCCGGUGGUCCCGGUACAAUACCGAUGACCCCGAAACUUGUCCCGAUGGCCGAAACAGGACUUCCUAUAUAUAAAUCUUUACCUCCGGACCAUUCCGGAACUCCUCGUGACGUCCGGGAUCUCAUCCGGGACUCCGAACAACAUUCGGUAACCACAUACAAGCUUCCUUUAUAACCCUAGCGUCAUCGAACCUUAAGUGUGUAGACCCUACGGGUUCGGGAGACAUGCAGACAUGACCGAGACGUUCUCCGGUCAAUAACCAACAGCGGGAUCUGGAUACCCAUGUUGGCUCCCACAUGUUCCACGAUGAUCUCAUCGGAUGAACCACGAUGUCAAGGACUCAAUCGAUCCCGUAUACAAUUCCCUUUGUCUAGCGGUAUUUUACUUGCUCGAGAUUCGAUCGUCGGUAUACCGAUACCUUGUUCAAUCUCGUUACCGGCAAGUCACUUUACUCGUUCCGUAACACAUCAUCCCGUGAUCAACUCCUUGGUCACAUUGCGCAUAUGAUGAUGUCCUACCGAGUGGGCCUAGAGAUACCUCUCUGUUUACACGGAGUGACAAAUCCCAGUCUCGAUCCGCAUAAAACAAUAGAUACUUUCGGAGAUACCUGUAGUGCACCUUUAUAGUCACCCAGUUACGUUGUGACGUUUGAUACACUCAAAGCACUCCUACGGUAUCCAGGAGUUACACGAUCUCAUGGUCGAAGGAAGAGAUACUUGACAUUGGCAAAGCUCUAGCAAAUGAACUACACGAUCUUUUGUGCUAGUCUUAGGAUUGGGUCUUGUCCAUCACAUCAUUCUCCUAAUGAUGUGAUCCCGUUAUCAACGACAUCCAAUGUCCAUAGCCAGGAAACCAUGACUAUCUGUUGAUCACAACGAGCUAGUCAACUAGAGGCUUACUAGGGACAUAUUGUGGUCUAUGUAUUCACACGUGUAUUACGAUUUCCGGAUAAUACAGUUAUAGCAUGAAUAAAAGACAAUUAUCAUGAACAAAGAAAUAUAAUAAUAACUUAUUUAUUAUUGCCUCUAGGGCAUAUUUCCAACAUUUUUUGCAUGUUUUUUGAUGCAGCAAAAAAGAACUAACUUGGGUGCUGAUUUUGUUGCAGAAUGUUGCUGUGGAGCCAUCGAUUUUCUUUGAUGAUGAUAUGCAAAAUGUUGCGCACGAAGAAGAAGAUGAUGGCAUUGAUCUGAAUGAUACUCCAGGACAUGAUAGUGACGAUUCCUUGCAGCUAAACACGGAUGGUGCAGCUCCAAACCAUUGCAAUGCCCGUGUGACCGGUGACAAUGGCAAUGGAAAUGCUGCAAUACUUGUUGAUGAACCAGACGAAGAUAUAUCAUCACAGCCAGUUGUCCCUUUUGUUGGAAUGAUUUUUGACAAUAUUGAAGAAGCUCAGCGUGUUUACAAUGAAUAUGCUUCUGAGAUGGGCUUUGGAACUCGCAUUGUGACGUUAAAGUAUAGUAGGAAAAAUAGCUUGGAACAGAAGCGCAUCCUAAUCUAUAGAGUUUUUGAGUGCAUACACUCACGGAGAGAUCCUUCUAAGAAUGUUGGUGGAAGCAUUUCUGACAGGGCUGCAACAAAUCAAAGUGAUGAUGUUGAUAUGAGCUAUGCUAGUAAUAAAAAAUCUCCAAGCAAACAAGCUAGCAUCUAUAUGGAUGUGAGCGACAAGAGGAGAAGAAACCGGUUGGAGCGGUAUGAUUGCAAGGCUCGUAUGGGUGUUAGCCUCAAAGAAGGUAGCUGGGUUGUGACAGUUUUUGAGGCUGAUCACACACACCAGCUGAUGUUGCAAAGGGGGCGUCGAAGAUUUUGCCACUCUCACAGAAAGAUCCCCGAUGCAGACAUGCAAUACAUCACUUCGCUGCACUAUCGCAACAUAUCAACGGCUAAUAUGAUGGGCUUGCUUGGAGAUGCACGAUGCUGCGAUCCUAGGAGUUUGUCGUAUGUGAAGACUGAUGUGACAAAUGCAAGAGCAAAGCUGCGAAGGGGCCUGUCAGAGCGUGAUUUGGAGCUGACAAUCGAGUACUUUGAGAGAAGACAAGUGGAGAAUCCCAACUUAUUUUUCUCGAAGCUAGAAGAAGAUGGAGCUGUUAGAGCACUUUUCUGGGUUGAUGGGAGAACAAGGGCCUUGUAUCCAAAGUAUAAAGAUUGUGUGUUUUUCGACACCACAUUCUGCACCAAUCGCUACAACUUGCCCUUUGCUCCGAUUGUUGGCAUUAACAACCACACACAUACUAUUUUGCUUGGGGUGCGCUUUGUUGCCUGAUGAGGCCAUCGAAACUUUCAAGUAGGUCUUCCAGCAAUGGAUGUUGGCAAUGAAUAACGAGCAUCCGUUGAACAUUAUGACUGAUCAAGACCAGGCAAUGGCUAAAGCCAUCUCAAUGGUAUUUCCACAUUCAACACACAGAUGUUGCAAGUGGCACAUCUUCCGGGUUGCAAGGACGAAACUAGGGAAGAUGUUGGGCAAGGAUGAGCCUUUUGCUGAAGCAUUCUAUGGUUGCAUCAAUGAUUCCGAUACCGUUGAGGAGUUUGAAGAACGGUGGAAGCAGAUGGUCGAGUCAUUUGGUGUGGCUGAUAAGAAACACCUGAAGAACAUGUGGGACAGCAGGGAGAUGUGGGCUCCUGUGUACUUUAGGAAUAAGUUCUUCCCAUUCACAGGAACAACUGGGCGGUCCGAGGGCCUGAAUUCCUACUUCAAGACUUUAAAUCAUCAUGGAGACUCGGUUUGGACAUUUGUCCAGCAGUUUGAGCUUUGCCAGGAACUAAUGCUUGAUCGUGAAGACAAUGCUGGCUUCAUCAAUGAAGCGACAAGGCCUCCGCUCUGGGGCAAGUAAGUCCAAAGUCAUGUAGCAUUUUUUUAGUUUUCCAGCACAGUGUGGUUGCAGCAUUUCUUUGAAACAUAUGUAGUAAUUAUUAUUGAUGUUGGAAGCUUUUUUUGUUUGCAGCUACAACAUUGAAAAGCAAGCUGCAGAUUUCUAUACCAGAGAGGUAUUUUCCAAGUUUCAGAAACUAUUGGCUAAAUCAACAGGCUAUGGUCUGCAAUAUCAGCUGCAAGGGGAUGUCAUCUGGUUUCGCCUUGUUGCAAACUAUGGCGUCAACCCAAAAGUGUACACGGUGCGUGUUGCUCCUAAAGAUCAGGCAUACAUGUGCACCUGCAACAUGUUUGAGAUGUGUGGGCUGAUCUGCCCACAUAUCAUCCGUGUCAUGGUGCACCUGAAUGUGCAAACGAUACCUGCGACUUACAUGCUUCCAAGAUGGUCUAAGAGAGCAACCGACCUUGCGCCUGAACCGGGCGAUGGGCAUAGAGCUAUGCAUUUCGGCGUCCCCACGACAAACACCCUAAAGUUUAACUCUCUAUGCCGGAAGUUUGGGAAACUCGCUUCUGAUGCUUGCUUCAAUGAUGAAGCUUAUAGUUUUGUCUCUGGGCUAAUUGAUCAGGGCAGUGUUGGGGUUGCUGCAAUAAAAGCUAGAGCAACUGAUGGGUUUGCAGGAGACGAAGAAGGCCAAGGUCAUGCAGGACAUGAACAAGUCUCAGGAGGUCCAAGUACAGGUCAGCGGGAUCCACCCCCCGUAGGACUACGGAACCCACCAAAGUCUGCAAAGAAGGGGAGGCCAAAGGAGAAAGAGAAGCGCAGGAAACCACUAAUUGAGAUUCGAGAAGAUGAAAUGAAGAAGAAAGCAAAGAAGGACGCGGCGAAAACGAAGAAAGCUCCAAAGCCAAGGGAAAAGAAGACUCCAUGCAAAUAUUGUGAAGAUGAAGAUCACAACGUGAAGGAUUGCCAACUCCUUGCAGCUUUUCUUGCUGCGAGUGCGAGCGCGAAAGCUCCGGGUGUCAAAACAAUCCUUACACUUUAGGAUAUUUUCGUGAGGGAAAAAUGAUGAAUUGCCUUGUAACACCCCAUGACUUAUGAUAAUAAGUUGUGUUGACUAGCUGUGAAUGUUUGUUUUGUGGGAUUGCAACAUAUUACUACAUGCGUGGUUUGAAAAAAGCAGAAUGUUGCUUUUUACAAGAGUUGUUUUUAAAUAAAUUCUUAUUGUUAUAUGUUUGUGAGAGCUUACUUUUUGUAGUAUGAUGGUGCCAAAAGUAGAAUUUAAAAAAAGCGGAAUGUGGGUUUUUUCUUAUUUAUUUUUUAAAAAAAUAGUACUCAAUGGUUGUUGUAACCACAGCUUGAUCCAUGCUUAAAAAGAACAUGUUUUAAGCUUUUGAAAAGCAUGGUUGAAGCUUUUGAAAAACAUGGUUGAAUCUUUUUGAAAAUAUGGUUGCAGCUUUUAGGAAACAUGUUUGAAGCUUCAAGAAAACAUGUUUAUAAGAUUUCUGGAAAGCAUGGUUGCAGCUUUUUAACAACAUGGUUGAAGCUUUUGUAAACAAGGUUGCAACUUUUAGGAAACAUGGUUGAAGCUUUUGAAAACUUGGUUGUAACUUUUUCAAAGUAUGGUUGAAACUUUUUCAAAAUAUGGUUGCAGCUUUUAGGAAACAUGGUUGAAGCUUUUUGCAAACAUGGUUGAAGCUUUUUAAAACAUGGUUGAAGCAAAAUAAUAAGUUUGAAAAGGAAAAAGCCUUGAAUGAUUUAAAGUGUUGAUUUAGCUGUACAGCAAAAGUUGGGAAAGGAAGCAUAUUUACAUUAUGCUUCCAGCAAAAAUAUUAUAGGGAUGUAGCUAAUUUGCAGGCAAAUCUAACAGAAGGUUGUAGCUAUUUCCUAUGAGCUUCCAGCAAUAUAAGUGUGUGACAAAAAGUAGCAUUCACAUAUUAUUUUUCAGAAAAUAUGUUUUAAGGGGGAAAAUGCACAGAGAUUCCCUUGAAACUUCAAUGGAUGAAGUUUGAAAUAUUUUCAUAUUUCAGAACCAGUGAAACAAAAAAUAAUUGUCACCGCAUGAUCAUGUUGGCAAACAGAAGAACGCAUCCAUUAAAAACAUAAGUGCAUCAUCCAAAUAUCAAGUUAUCAUCGGUUUACAUACCAAAAGGACACAUGUUUACUGGAGGUAUCAACAGUUUACAUACGAACGCGCACUACUCUAAUCCUAUUAGAACGCUAUCACCUCGGACAUGAUCUAGACCUAACGAAGAAACAAGCUUGUUCGUCUUGAACCUUCCAGAAAAUCAAGCCGCCAACUCAUCGUUGAACGUCCGCUCCUUUGGGGCGUUGUUCAUUGGGUGGCUGAAAAGGUUGUAUGCCACAUCGAUGCGGUAUCGCGCCAUGUCUUCCUAUAAAAAAUGAAUACAAAAAGUAAGCAAGAAUGAUACUAGUUAUUCUUGUGUUGCAUGAGUGAUGAAUGCAAAAAGUUCACAUCCAUCCACCGCAAAAAAUUGAUAUGGAUGUAGCAAAAUUAUGAUAUGGAUGAAGCAAAAGCAGAAUGUAGUUGUAGCAAACUAGACAUAUGAAUGUAGCUAAAAAAGCCUAGUAGGUACAAACUUGAACCACAUAUGAAGCAACAACAAAACAUGGUAUUCUUCUGUUGCAUGAGUAUUGAAAACAAAGAAAGUAGAUUGUAACAAAAUGACAAGACAAAAAAUUAAAAAUGUGUACCUGCUUGAACUCUCUCAUUGACUUCCCAUCAUAGUUCUCCACAUACUUGAGCCCAAAAAAACCACAAUCACAUCUUUGAGAUAAUAAAAAGUUCUCCAUCAUACUUCCCAUGCGUAGUUGAAAAAACAAAAUGUUGAAAUGGAACACAUGAUUGAAGCAAAAUUCAAAAAGAAAACUCACAGGGUAUCUUGCGUUGGGUAAUCCUCUAGGUCAACACAGGCGAAGGAUCCAACAUUGACAUUGAAUUCGCUGCACUCUUGUGCGAGGGUCGCAAAGUUUGUGAUCUAGCACCGAGAACACACACAAAAGUUUCAAAAAUAAAAUGAGGUGUGUAAAGAUGACAACAGGGCAUUUAUGUAGAUGAAUCAGAAGGCUAAACAGAAAAAAUCAGAGAGCAUGAGCAUACCAGGUUAUUGGCUUGCUUCUUCAAAGGAGAUUGUUUUCCUUUUGAAUGGAUUGAGUCAAAUACAUUCCACUGCUCGUGAAGCAAGUUUGCGCAAACAACUAUCCAAUGGCGAUCAUGAACAAUUGUGAAAAAGAGCUGCAAAAAACAAAAGAAAGGCGAAAAGGUACUCAGAACAUGUAAAAAAUGUUACAGCCGUGUCACAUCAUUGGAUCAUAUUUGGAAGUUAUUUGUGGUGUGGAACAAAAGAAAGCUUCAUGAAACUUACGAGGUCAAACUUUUGAACCUUGAACACUUCCAUAGCCCUUUCAAGCUCAGCCAUGAGUUUUGCUGGUUGGAAAGUUGAUGGGUCUUGUUUUAGUAGGAUCUACUUGAAAGAUACAACAAAAUGGUUAGUGUGUGUUGCAACGAAAAUGUGAAAAGAAAGAAAAGAAUGAAGCAUUGCUUGUUUUUACAAAAACUUACCCCCGCGUGGACUGAGAAAAUGUAUUUCUUCAGCUCCGGUUCUUUUGCUGCACGGGAUGCAAUGUUGUUCAUCUCGAUACAUAGUGACAUGACCUCAUCAUUCAUAUCCCCGCGAGGCUUGAAGCAUACAAGGAAUUUCUUGUAUCCAAUGUAAAAUCCACCUAGCUUGAUGAAAGGUGUCCUGUUACCAUAGAUGCAACCGAAUGAAUCAUUUGUUUCGAGCAGAAAAAAUAAAAAAUAGAAAGCAAAAAACAGAUAAGGCUUAGGUAGCUCACACUUGUUCAUUGGGUUGUGAUUUCCUCAAUGGUUUCCCGUGUUUUACAAACCUCUCAUACAUUUCUGCAGCCUUGUCGACCUUUUGCUUCUUUGCCUUGGUAUUUUUUAUGGCUGGAACUUUGGCCAUCCUCUUCUUCCUAGUGUUCUUGUCAUGUGUGCUAGGGCCACUGCUUGCAUCAGCAAAAUGCUCUUCUGUAGCGACCAUCUUAGCAGUUGUAGCAAAAAAAUACAAAUGGAUGAGUUUGCAAGAGAUUGUACAAAAAGAAUUUGCUGGAAUCACACAAUUGUGAAAAAUGAUAUGGAGAAAAACAAAAAGAAAUGAUGCAAGAUGAAGAAAGCAUACUUGGGCUGUCAUCAUCGUCUGAAACAGGAAACACGGGGAUGUUUGCAUAGAUGGGACUGACUGUGCUCUUCUUAAUUAUAGGCUCAUCUGUGGAAUGCAUCAUCUCAUAGUCUUCGGAGCCCUUUGGGAACAACUCACAGGAUGGCUCGUCGUCCCAAAUGCCGGCUGUCGCACUCCUGGGUGCAUCAUAGAAGAGUGGGGGGCUGUGAGGUGAGGCGUUGUCUUCCAUCUCGAAACUCACUCUUUGUUGCUCACGAGUUUUCGCAGCCUCUGUUGCAACUUCUAGGUUCAAUCCGGUGACUUCAUCCUUGUUGAUGCUAGGUGUUGUACCUUGAGCUUGAGCUUGAGCAUCAAUGUCGGCAUUUGCGGCUUUAGCAUCAUUCUCUUUUCCGCAACAUUCGUCCAUGAUAGGUGCUUCAGGGCUCAUUGGUAGCUGUGAUGGCGUCUCCAACAUCACGAAGGAGAGCGGCCAUCCGGUUGCACUGCAAUUCCUUUAAACACUGUCCAAACUUGCCUACUACAUCAUCCACCUCUGCUGCAAAAAUAUCCUUGUGCUUGUCGUAUAGCAUUUGAAACUGAGUUGGUACCUACAAGAAGGCAAGUGGCCUACAUUUUUUGUGACAAGUAAAUCCAGAUUUUGAGAAGUAGGUGUGCUGUUGUGUCACUAUGUAUCAAAUAAACAGUGUGAUUGCAGCAAUUUACUGUCAUGGAUGAAGCAUAAAAAACAAAUGGUCUAUACCUCUAGGUAGCAAAUUAUGGAUAUGGAUGUAGCAAAAUUAUGACAUGUUUGAAACAAAAACAUAAUGUAGUUGUAGCACACUAGACAUAUGGAUGCAGUAAACAAAACCUAGUAGGUAUGAACUUAAACCACAUAUGAAGCAAAAACAGAACAUGGUUGUAGCACAUCAGAAUGAGGGAUGCAUCAAACAAAAUAUACACUUGCAACUGGGUAUAGUAAAUAAUGCAAAGCCAAAGGCAAAACAGGAAAUGAAUACAAAGAAAAAGAUAGUGUAGAUGGGGGAAAAGUACCCUUAGAUCUUGCAUGCUAGGGAAUGAUUGUUGCAGCCAAUCGUUGAGCGAGGAUGAUAGGUGUGGUUCAGCUUCAACAUUUUGUUGAGCCUCGUUUGAUUGAGAGUCCUUCGCUGGAAUUUCAGCACCUUGAAUUUGGCUUCCUUGGCCACUAGUUCCUUGGCCACUAGGUGCUUCAGCACCAACUCCCUGCCCACUGGCUGCUUCAGCACCAACUUCCUGUCCCGCGAGUUGUGCUGCAUAGGGGGUGUUGCACAAACUCCGUAUCUAGGAAAACAAAACAUGAGUGGCAGAAAUAAGAAGGCUGCCAUAACCUAAAUGGAAAAGUAAAGAUUGCUACAUGCAAAUUUAGUGAGCAAAAAAUAGGGGGGGUCUUAAUACUCCAUUGGCAAAGGAAAGUACAUAGGCGGGAUGUAGCAAAAUUACUUGGGUGUGUUUCCCGUAGAAAGGUUGGACAAGAGUGAGCUUGUUCUUGUCAACUUUAUCCAACCAAUCAAAAUCCUUUUGACAAACAAAACGUAUCCUUGGCACGGAAUAAUCAAUGGCAUGCUCAUGGGAGGCCGGACGGAAUAUCAAUAUGAUCCAUGUAUAUGAUCUGCAUAGAAUGGAAAAGGACAUUAGCCAACAAAAACAUAAAUGCGAGCUAUAGAAAUGUAUAAAAGGUUUCAUGCAGCAAAGGAAAAAAUGCAUGUAUUUCAUUUUGUUGCGUUGCAUACCGCUAACAUGGGAAGGCAUGAAGCGAUCUGAAACUCCGCUGCUUUUUCUGUAUUUGCUUGCAUCCUCUUCUUCUCUUGAAAGACUCCAACCUCCUCCAUCGCUCGUGCCAACAAGUGCUCAUCCCAAGCGAAUUCAUGCACCAAAGACAUAUCUUCCAAGGAAGCUAGAUACUCGAGAUUCACCAUAUUGCCAGUGCUUGGGCACAAAACUGUUGCCAACGCAAGGAGUGUCCAAGUCCUAUUUAUCAUAACCACGUCCUCAUCACUGCAACUAGUGAGCAACUUGACAACAUGGGCGAUUGGAGCCCUGUUCCCCUCCUUGUAGAUGCUGUGAAGAUCAUGUUCAUCACUCUUCUUAAAAAGCUUCACGGGUCUAUCACCGGAUGGCACGUUGAAAAUCCUUUUCACCAUGAGCUUGCUGAAGGUGAUGGACUUGUUCUUGUGUUUGAACUCAGAGAGUAUGUGAUUCGUGUUCAUCACAACAAACUCAAUGAGCUCAUGGGGCACCUUGAAAGACCGGAUGUCCAACAAGUCUCCAAACGGUCCCUCCCUUAUGAUUCUCUGUUUUUCUGGUGAUACUUGCUUCCCAAUCUCAGCCAGCCUUUUUGAGUUAAACCUUGACUUAAAGCCACAUAGAUUGCCUUUCUUCUUGGUCUUCUUCUUAACCUUCUUACUCCCUUCAUUCUCACCAGCGGUGCCUGCGACAUCUACAAAAAGGAAAAAAACAAGUCAAUAAAACCCUAAAACUGCAUCAUCAGUAACUAGGAAAAAACAUACAAAAACACCUAAAAAAUCUGUAAAACAUAAGAAACAUACAAGCACACAUAAAAAAUGUACAGAAUAAAACAUGUCCUUCAGUUAGCACAGCAUUAGGGCCAUGUUUGUUUCGCUUCAGCAUUAGGGUCAUGUUUGUUUCACUUCAGCCUUAACUAAGAAUUUUGUGAAAAAUAAUAUUUAACAAAAUUACUACAUGUGAUGAUCAGGUAUUUUGACCAUAACUGCCAUUAGCCAAUUUGGGGAGACAGACCUAUUAUUACUAGCAUUGGCUGUAACUUGUAAGUGUCAUAUUGCGUUGUCCCUACCAUGUCUAGUUUAGUCCCACUAUUCUCUGAAGUUUGAGUAGUGACUGGGAAAUAUGAAUAAGCUGCAUUGAUUAGUAAAGCAUCUAGUUCAUAUGCUAAUGUUCAACUUAGUAACAUAUACAAAUGUAACCUUCAACGAACUGAUUAUUUCUACUAAUCAUUAGUGACCCAGAAAUGUUAACACGAGACCAUCAGACCGGAUAAUGACUACUCAAGAAAGUGUGAUGCAACAAUGUAAAAUCCAUAUAACUGUCUGCUGAUGAAAUAAGCAAAGCCAUAUAUACCUGGAUAAAUAACCUGAAAUCAGAUGGUUUAGCACUAGCAUUACACAAACCAAUGAUGGCAACCCAUGGCAGCAGUAAGCAACACUCACAAAUACAAUACAACCAGGUUGAUCAUUGACAUAAUGCAGGCACUCCAAAGUAUGGAUCAUUGCAAGAACAACAUGUCCUUCACUUAGCACAACAUUAGGGCCAUAUUUGUUUCACUUCAGCCUUAGAGAGGAAAAAAUCUUGCAGGUACCAAGUACUACUCCAAUGCACAUGGAGUAAUAAUUAUUCAUGUUUGCUAGGUACUAGUACUACUACUACAAUGGUCUGAAAUUAGUACGUCCCUCCCUGACACCCUGUGGCAGUAAAUCUCAUCAUCACGGUGAUCUAGCAAAAUGAUUGGGCACAGCGUGCACACCCAGUACAGCUACAGUCUUACAGAGUAGUAGCACCAGUACUACCGACGGAGAAAUGCGAUGGAUGGACAAACAACAACCUGUCACUUGUCACCAGAAAUCUCCCACCGAACGCGGGGAGCUUAACACUCCGUCCUGCUGAACGAUUCAAAGGGACUUUCCUCCAGAUUUUAAGAAACGGAAGCACCAAACGCGUGCGCGCAAAGCCAACACGCAGCCUGGUUCCGGCCGCUUCCAGCUCACUCCGUCCCCUUGGCGCCGUGAUGGAACAUAGCUCAGGACAGGAAACAUCGAAUUUCCCCGAACAAGACGAGAUCCAACCCUAAUCCCAAUCCCAUUCCAAAUCCCUCUUGAACACAAGAUUCAAAUCCACCACCCCGCCCCCUCCAUCUGCCCNNNNNNNNNNNNNNNNNNNNNNNNNNNNNNNNNNNNNNNNNNNNNNNNNNNNNNNNNNNNNNNNNNNNNNNNNNNNNNNNNNNNNNNNNNNNNNNNNNNNNNNNNNNNNNNNNNNNNNNNNNNNNNNNNNNNNNNNNNNNNNNNNNNNNNNNNNNNNNNNNNNNNNNNNNNNNNNNNNNNNNNNNNNNNNNNNNNNNNNNNNNNNNNNNNNNNNNNNNNNNNNNNNNNNNNNNNNNNNNNNNNNNNNNNNNNNNNNNNNNNNNNNNNNNNNNNNNNNNNNNNNNNNNNNNNNNNNNNNNNNNNNNNNNNNNNNNNNNNNNNNNNNNNNNNNNNNNNNNNNNNNNNNNNNNNNNNNNNNNNNNNNNNNNNNNNNNNNNNNNNNNNNNNNNNNNNNNNNNNNNNNNNNNNNNNNNNNNNNNNNNNNNNNNNNNNNNNNNNNNNNNNNNNNNNNNNNNNNNNNNNNNNNNNNNNNNNNNNNNNGCGCCGGCGCCGGCCCGCGGGAACACAAACGACUCGCCCGCAUCAUAACCCGCCCUAACCCUAAAGCCAACGGGGGAGGGGGAGGCAACAACGAAAAGGGAGAGCGGGAGGGGAGAGUUACCAUCCGGGGAAGCCAUAGAUCGCCGGAGAAUCGAGAUCCGCCCUGGGCCGCCGCCGCCGCUCCUGAUCUGCCGGCGCCAACAAGCCCGUCGCCCGCCGGUCGCCCUGCCUCCUCGCACCGAAAUGACGACCCUGUGCGGUUGCAGCAAAAACUGAGGAAGGGAUAACCCGUGCGAGUUAAAAAAACAUGGGUCUGUGGUGACACGUGGCGCAGACAACGUCCCUUGGAUCAAAAGAGAUCCAACGCACGGAGCGCGACCGACGCAACGGUUCGGCCGGCGCCCCGGCCACAAACACUUCCCAGUCACGGACCUGCAGUAGAGUCACGAGUUCUCCGAAGUCACGGAGGUCAGCUACUGUCUACUGAACUCCAAAUGCAGUGCCGAAGAGACCAAUUGUACAUGAGAAAAGAGAGAAUUCCUUAUUUAACACUGUCUUAAAACUUUUUGCCCUAUUUAACAUUGUAAAAAAAUUUCUUCCCUAUCUAACAAUGCGUCUAAAUUUUAUGCCCUUUAUGACACUUUUAUCCAUUUUAAGCCUUAACUGUGUUAAAUGACAUCUGAAAAGACGUUUUUGCCCCUCGUAUGAUAUGUGAUAAAAAAAUUGAUAAAUGUUAAUAUUGUAUGUAUGUAUGUAUCCAACCGGCUCGGUUUGGUAGCUGUGUCAGCCAACUUUCAAGAAAAAUCAAUCAACCGCUUAUGCUAGCUCUGCAUCUACAAGUGCUCUGAGUUGCAUGGUGUAACUUUGCUUGUAUUAAUCACAUCUAUGAAGUGACAUAUACAUACCGGUACAACAAGUGGGACAGCUUGCUACCGAAUCUAAAUAGAAAGGCUGUCGAGUAGGCGGAGGCAUGCGGAGCGCGGUGCCAUUGCACUUGCACCCUGCAUGCACGCGUGUUGACCGAGUCCACGAGUUGGUCCUUGUGUAUGGAGUGGAAUCCGCUUGAGUCCAUUUUGGUCCGUGUCUUGCUGUCUGGCAAAGACGUGCGCGACGCCUUGCCCAGGUGCCUCUUGUCAGGACGUGCGGCCGAGGAGCUCGACCACAGGGACGGGGCGUGUACUGUAGUCGACAGCUCAUCCACGUAUUCCAGAUGACCAGUUCAUAUUAUAUGAAGGGCAAAAGUGUCUUUUUACAUGCAAUUUAACAAUGUUAGAUGAAAAAAUAGACAAAAGUGUCAUGAAAGGCAUAAAAUUUAGACCCCAUGUUAAAUAGGAAAGAAAAAGUUUUUCAGUGUCAAAUAGGGAAACACAUUUUAAAGUAGUGUCAAAUAAAGAAUUUUCUCAUGAGAAAACGAUACGCGCCAGUUUUGUUUCUGGUCAUCAGAUCAACACCCAACGGUCAGGAGUGCGCCUACACCUGUUCAUCUUUUUCCUCGCCCACAGUCCCUUCCGGUUACCCCUCACCCCCAGUUAAGUUCCAGACUCGCUAUUGCCAUCUCCUGCUCGUAGCUGUGGCCGGCGCUCCUUACGCCGUCCCCCAGCCGGAAAGUGACUGACGGCACACAAGAAUCGAAUACUCCAUAGUCCAAGGUUGCUGAUGAUGAAUUUCACACUUUCAUAUAGGAUAGCUCCAGCAUCCUGAUGGCACACAAAAAAAAUUAGGCGCCUGAGAUUUAGCAAAACCGAAUACUCCAUAGCCCAAGGGUGCAGAUGACGAGUCACACUUCCACAUAGGAUAGCUCCAGCAUCCAGAUGAGCACACGCGAACGAUCGUCACGAUGAAUGCUUUGCUCCUCUACAGUAGAAGAUUAGCUCUCAGAUCAGUCUGGUCACAGCAACCUCCAGUUCCUAGGCAAAGUAUCCAAAACAGCAAGCAACUAGAAACGAACUGAACUGAAAUGAACGAAACUAACGAAGGAAACACCACAUACGCUAUAGAGCAUGCAAAAUACAUGGAGCCAUGGAGAUUGCGUCUCACCUUCUCAAGUCGUUGGAGCAGAGCCGUCUUAAACUGCCAGACUCCGCGACCGAUAGAAGUAGAUACAUACAUCAUCACAAGCACAGGAAAUAGACAGAAGCAGCCACCAGUCAAAAGUGUCCAGAGACAUGCCUAAGUAAUGCAUUUGAUUGAAAGACACUACUAAUACUACAUUUGAUUACAAGGGCGUCGUGAAUAUUCUAUGCGAGCUAAAGGGCUAUCAGAACAUCAAUUAGGUACAGCCGAUGAUAGGCACCCAUUUCAGGGACCAAUGUUACUACAAGUCAUUUCUUCUUACAGACCAGGCACCCUUCCAAGGCAAGAUGGUCCUAUAUUCAGAAAUUGGAUACAGCGUGUGGACGGGCCAUCCUAUAUCUUCUGCUUCAAUGCUUGGCGCAGCUGGACCUUGCGGCCGUCGAAUCUCGAAUCCAGAGGCUUUGACUUCAGGCUCUGCUUCUUCGCGCCCUGGGGCCAUUCGAUGCGACCUUUCAUCGCGCGGACCACGUGAGGGUUCACCAGCUCCGGGCUCCACUCGCCCACGCUCGGCGAAACCGUGCACACCUCGCUGCCCUUCAGAGUGGGCGAAAGAGCGGAGUUCGACAUUCUGCCACUUGAGAGCAUCCCGUUCAGUAACUCUGAUCCUGUUUUCUUGCGGCCAUUGUCGUUGUUUGAUGAUCUCCAGAGUCUGGCGAAAGAAGGCCCUCUCUUCCGGUACUUCUCUGCUGUGGUCGAACAUACUUCGCUGAUACCGCUAAUGGACCUGCAGUUUUCAGAAUUGUCAUCGCAGUCCGUUCCACUCACCGAUGCGCCGUCUCCUCCACAGAAGCCGUUCACUGAUGGUUCACUCCCACCUGGUGAGUUGCUCGAGCCGUGCUCAUCGACAUGGCUGACAGUCUCCCAUCCGCUGUCAUCUUCCUCUUCGUUUCUGGCACAGGGUUGAUGGGGAUACCUCUUCGAUGGUUUUUCCAGGAAGAUGUCAUUUUCAGGACUAACUGUGUGGAUAUUUGUUGCAUGACCGAUGGGGAUAUCUCCGUUACACUGCCCAAUCUCCUUCUCCUCGGUGUCUUCCCUCUGUCUGAGCUCCUCAAAUACAGCAAAAAUAUCCUCUGAAGCAGGUGGCGGUUUGUAAGAGAACUCCUUAAUAUCAUGAAACUUCAUCGAGCAAAUUGCUUCCCUUAGCCUUUCUGCAUCUCUUACCAUCUCUUUAUCUGCAGUAUUGCCUCCAUGGGAACUGAGGAAAGCCUCAACCUCAGACUGAAGGUCGCUCAGCUGUGAAUACUUGCUGUCUAGUGUCAGCUUUGCAUCAACGAGCUUCAUCUGAACCCUCUCUUCGCGCCAAACCUCCGCCAUCUGCAGCAUCUUCCUUUCUUCCUCCAGCUCAUCUCUCAUCUUCAUAGAUUCACUCUUCAGAGCCUCAACCUCAGCUUUGUCUUCGGCAAUCUCCUUUGCUAAUUCAUCACACACCUCCUCCAUAAGCUCCCUGGCCUUCCUCUCCUUUUCAUAAUCUUGCAAGUAUCGCUUUGCCACCAACUUCAACUCGGAUACCUCAGUGGCCAACUUGGAAUUCAUAAUUUCUGCCCUUUGUCGGUUCUUCCUCUCCCGGUUCAGACUCUCUUUAACACCAUCGAAGAUGUCUCGAACCUUAUCAUGCUCCCUGCUCUUCCAGGAAGCCUUUUCCUCAGAAAGGCUCCUUAACAUGUGAUCAAGCUUCUUCUUUGCAGACCGACUCUCAGCUUCAAGCUCAUGAAUCCGGUUGUGAGCCUGCAUAAGCUCUGCUCUUAGUGCAGAGAUUUCUGCAUCAGCACUCACUGGAUAAUGAUCAAAGGAAUCACAGUCAGCAUCCCUUGACGUGUUCAAGCCACGCCGGUCCCACUUGGUUGCCACCUCCAUUUCGAUUCGAGGUGAUGGAGAGUAAGCUCCCACCUAAUUUAGGAUCAAAAUCAUUCUCAUUAAUAAAACAAGAUGAGAAAAGAAAAUGGUGAACUGUACUCUAAGUAAUAAUUCGUGAACAAGGAAUAUACCUCAUGAAUGCUGCCGUUGCCAAGAGGCUUUCUUCCUGACCUGCCUUCCAGGACAGCUUUGUAGUAAUUGCACCGAUCCGGCGUAUGCAGAGGCUUCGGGUUAGGCUGCAAAUUAUUUCUUUUAGCUCAUCACCAACACUUCAAAACCACAUAUUAAUACUCCCUCCGUCCCAAAAUAAGUGUCACUGAUUUAGUACAAAGUUAUACUAAGUAGGCAACACUUAUUUUGGGACAGGGGGAGUAGCAUCUUACAAAAUCUACAUGUCAAAUGGAGAAAAAAAUGUUCAAAGCCAACCAUUGGAUGGUCAGCAUUGCAGAUAUAUAACACUAACAGCAAUAUAUAGGGACCACAAGGACCCUAAUUAGAGGGUAGAUAAUAAUGGAAACAUGGAGAUGUGACAUCCCUGGGCCCGAUUAAUGGAGAUACAGCGAACACUAAGCAAUCUAGGACGGCAAUGAUCAGCAAUUGGAUCAACAAAGGACAUGGACAUGCUCAAAUCUAACAUAAAACCUGACAUGAUGGUGGUACCAAAUUGACGCGGAAACAUGGACCCUGCUACCUCUCCCUAAACCAAAAUUUACCCAGCGAAGUAGAUGCACAGCUUGCUACGCAUUAUGACGCAGUAAGCAAAAUGGGGCGAAUCGUGGGUUGGAAGUCCAAGUCAGUAAGCAACAUUUAUGCUAGAUAGUCAAAUUCCACCUCCAACUAAAAAUGUUCUGCCGUCCCUUCGUCCCUCGAAUUGGCAGACACAAUGCGCUGAGACAGCAACAUUGUGAGAAAAUUCGCACCCAUCUCGCCGAAUUCCCUCCACCCAUUGGAUGCGCAGACACAGUAGCUUUCAGAACAAACAGCCCAAAACCUGUAGAGAAAAUACCAGGCUGGACCUCCUGAAGAAGGACGAAAACAAAGGAUCACAGAGCACGAAACCACCUAAAUUCUAACCAGUUCGUCGCCGGUUGCAUCCCACCAGAGGACGGCCACAGCAAAACCCUAGAACGCCACAGCAGCACAGCACAGACGCACGCGACCACGGGGGAAGAAGAUCCACGCUGAUCUGGGAGACAAAUCCCUACCUGCGGCCGUCGCCGCGGUUCCUCGGGCACCUCCCGCGGCGGCGCCUGCGGCGGGUGGACCCUCCAGAGCGCCGCGGCGAUCUUCCUCACGGAGGCGACGCGCGCGACGGCGUCCCCGGGCCAGCGGAGCGGCGGGGUGGCGGGCGGGGCGGCCGCCACGCGGCGCGCGGACGCGGCCAGAGAGGGGCUCUGCACGCGCAGCCGGCGGCGGGGGCGGGGGCGGGAGGCCGCUGGGCCCGGGGAAGCCGCAGCGACCGCGGCCGGCUCCCUCGAUCUGGGCGGCGAGGACUUGGCCUGCGGCGUGCGGGGGCGGCGGGAGCGCGCCAUUGUGCGCGGGCUCGCUCGGUCGGUCGCUCAGAGCGCGUCGGCGGCGGGCGGGGGCGGUGGCAUUCGCCGGGGAUGCGGCGCGGGCGGUGGGGGAGGGAGGGGGGGUGCGCGUGCGGGUCUGCGGGCGAGAUCCAGUACCGGUGCCGCGGCAGGGGACGCGGUGGGGUGCGUGUGUGUGUGCCCAGAGCCCAGUGGUGGUUUUGAUACGACUGGUGCUAGUGCUACGAGUAGUACUACUAGUAGUAGGGGUAGCUGCGUAGGCUCGUGAUGGAGGCUGGGGAACGUGGGAUGGGGGAAAAGGGGAGGGGAAAGGGAGAUGGAUGGAAUGCAAUGGAAGGAUUUGUUUGGCUUUGUUUUUCUCCUCUUGUGGAUUUGGUAUUUUGGACUUUUGGAAUUUGUGGCUUUGUGAAUUGUGGUGGUGAAAAUGUUUUGGGUUGAGUUGAAAAUGGAACGGUUUGAGCUGUUUGAAUGAAAAAUGCACUAGUGAUUUAGAGUUUGAUGGAGUCUCCACGGCGAGUUGCGUUUGUGUGAGAGUAUAUACCUCCAAGUUUUCGAACAAAAAGUUUUUUUUAUAAAAACAUUAUAUGUAACAAGAACACUUGAUAAAAUGUGUAUGAAUGUGACUUUUCGUGUGCUAAGAAAGAGAAAGGAAAGAGGCGAGGGGUUAUCGUAGCAAGCAUGCAUACAAAAAUAUUCGGAAAAAAAACUAUGCAUAUAUAUAUGGUAUUUUUACUUCGUGGAGGCGUGCGCCCAGCUAAUUGCAUUCUUUCGCAUUAGCUAAUCAUCAAGUAUCUUGGAGAAGAAGAAAUGUGUGUCAGUUACCUUUUCCGCUUAGCCGAAAGUGAGGAUGGCAUGAGCAACAGCAGGCACCCCGAGCGGCAACCGGCGAUAGCCGGCGGGANNNNNNNNNNNNNNNNNNNNNNNNNNNNNNNNNNNNNNNNNNNNNNNNNNNNNNNNNNNNNNNNNNNNNNNNNNNNNNNNNNNNNNNNNNNNNNNNNNNNNNNNNNNNNNNNNNNNNNNNNNNNGGGGGGGCACUGGAGUUGUUACAAGUCAAAGGGCUUAGAGGGAUGGUCGAGGUGGUGGCCAGCACGAGGUUGGGGGGAGGUCGAGGGAAGGGAGACCGGGGCGCAACAGUGCCCGCCGGCCGGGAGGCAGAGGCGGAUAGUUAAGGCUAGGUAGGUCGUGGGGUGGAAGACGAACCGUCACACGCGGAGGAAGAAGUACAGUUCACGCACAAUGGCCAUUGAAUAUUGAUCGGACGGGCAUGAGAAAAGUAACAGGCGAGGCAGCCAGCCCACCAGUGUUCGAGUCUCGGCUUGAGCAUUUGGUGCUCACGGAGUUUUCUUCUAUAAAAAAAUUGUCAACAUACUAGUCUAGCCCGGGUUAGUCUCUUUUUUAGAAAAGUGAUAGAUGUAGAAACAAAUCAAGUACGCGCUCUCCAUUUUUCUCCUUCGUCGGUGUGCGUGCAAUAAUCUGAAAACUACUUUUCCUAUGAGAAUACAAACAUCGAAUUUUCUGUCUGAUGUUUUUUUUUUGAAUUUUUAACUGGGGGAGGAGGGGGGCCCCUCAACCACCUGAAUAUAUUCCAUCGAAUUUGCCUAGAAGACUCGCAGCUCCAUACAAGAUAGGUUCAAGUGAACCAGAAUAGACGGGGGAAACAAGAGGAGACACAACCAAAACACACACACACACACACACGUGCACACAUCCAGCCGAAUCUCCGGAAGACCCACCGAGGAAAGGGUAGAAGAAGGCCUUUCAAAGAUCCGAAGCCGGACGCACCAACACCACCGACCGCCAUUCCAAAUAUCAUCAGCACAACCAGCAAGGAGGAGGACCUCAACUUACACCUUCAUUUGACCAAGCAAGGAGAAGAGCCUUGAACGUUGGCCGGCUGGUUGCCACCCAACAGCACCCCGCAGAGGUAGAGGUGCCAUAUGGGAACGAGGUGAUCCAUUGAGUAGGAUAACGACCCCGCUAACCCGGCUUCGGAUGAAAAUCAGACCCAUUCCGGCGCAUGGCUGAGCCACGAUCUCGCAGACAGAGUACCACCUCCUCACCAACAAGGCACACACCACCGUCGACCCCAAAUUGGCCGCACCACCACCACCAUCGAACUCACAGCAAGCAUCCCCCACAUAGACGAACCGAGCCGAACCUAGAUGAUGCCUUCAAGAAGGGAUGCGACACAAAAUGCGCCGCCAUCACCUGUUCCAGGAGAACCUGGAACAUGGGUUUCCACGGGUUUUCGGAGGAGCACUCACCAUGACAGCGCCGCCUCCACGGAGGUACACGGCACCCGCAGGCGUCGCCAUCGCCGGCUCCGGCAGGAGCAGAGCUUUCGCCCAAGUGAGAAUACCACCUCCUAGAAGCAUGGACAGGUCGUGGAGCACUGCCCCCUGCACAUUGCCACAGAGAAGGGUCACUGCAGCCCAGCCGUGAAGGAAAUAUGCCCUAGAGGCAAUAAUAAAGUUAUUAUUUAUUUCCUUAUAUCAUGAUAAAUGUUUAUUAUUCAUGCUAGAAUUGUAUUAACCGGAAACAUAAUACAUGUGUGAAUACAUAGACAAACAGAGUGUCACUAGUAUGCCUCUACUUGACUAGCUCGUUAAUCAAAGAUGGUUUUGUUUCCUAACCAUGAACAAAGAGUUGUUAUUUGAUUAACGGGAUCACAUCAUUAGGUUAAUGAUCUGAUUGACAUGACCCAUUCCAUUAGCUUAGCACCCGAUCGUUUAGUAUGUUGCUAUUGCUUUCUUCAUGACUUAUACAUGUUCAUAUGACUAUGAGAUUAUGCAACUCCCGUUUGCCGGAGGAACACUUUGUGUGCUACCAAACGUCACAACGUAAAUGGGUGAUUAUAAAGGUGCUCUACAGGUGUCUCCAAAGGUACAUGUUGGGUUGGCGUAUUUCGAGAUUAGGAUUUGUCACUCCGAUUGUCAGAGAGGUAUCUCUGGGCCCUCUCGGUAAUGCACAUUACAUAAGCCUUGCAAGCAUUGCAACUAAUGAGUUAGUUGCGAAAUGAUGUAUUACGGAACGAGUAAAGAGACUUGCCGGUAACGAGAUUGAGCUAGGUAUUGAGAUACCGACGAUCGAAUCUCGGGCAAGUAACAUACCGAUGACAAAGGGAACAACGUAUGUUGUUAUGCGGUCUGACCGAUAAAGAUCUUCGUAGAAUAUGUAGGAGCCAAUAUGGGCAUCCAGGUCCCGCUAUUGGUUAUUGACCGGAGACGUGUCUCGGUCAUGUCUACAUUGUUCUCGAACCGUAGGGUCCGCACGCUUAACGUUACGAUGACAAUUUCAUUAUGAGUUUAUACAUUUUGAUGUACCGAAGUUUGUUCGGAGUCCCGGAUGUGAUCAUGGACAUGACGAGGAGUCUCGAAAUGGUCGANNNNNNNNNNNNNNNNNNNNNNNNNNNNNNNNNNNNNNNNNNNNNNNNNNNNNNNNNNNNNNNNNNNNNNNNNNNNNNNNNNNNNNNNNNNNNNNNNNNNNNNNNNNNNNNNNNNNNNNNNNNNNNNNNNNNNNNNNNNNNNNNNNNNNNNNNNNNNNNNNNNNNNNNNNNNNNNNNNNNNNNNNNNNNNNNNNNNNNNNNNNNNNNNNNNNNNNNNNNNNNNNNNNNNNNNNNNNNNNNNNNNNNNNNNNNNNNNNNNNNNNNNNNNNNNNNNNNNNNNNNNNNNNNNNNNNNNNNNNNNNNNNNNNNNNNNNNNNNNNNNNNNNNNNNNNNNNNNNNNNNNNNNNNNNNNNNNNNNNNNNNNNNNNNNNNNNNNNNNNNNNNNNNNNNNNNNNNNNNNNNNNNNNNNNNNNNNNNNNNNNNNNNNNNNNNNNNNNNNNNNNNNNNNNNNNNNNNNNNNNNNNNNNNNNNNNNNNNNNNNNNNNNNNNNNNNNNNNNNNNNNNNNNNNNNNNNNNNNNNNNNNNNNNNNNNNNNNNNNNNNNNNNNNNNNNNNNNNNNNNNNNNNNNNNNNNNNNNNNNNNNNNNNNNNNNNNNNNNNNNNUCCUUUCCCUCUUCCUCCUCUUUCCCCUUCUCCUUAUCCAACUAGGAAAGAAGGGAGUCCUACUCCCAGUGGGAGUAGGACUCCCCCUUGGCACGCCCCUCCUUGGCCGGCCGCCCCCUCCCCUUGGCUUCUUUAUAUACGGGGGCAGGGGGGCACCCUAGGACACACAAGUUGAUCUUCGUGAUCGUUUCCUUAGCCGUGUGCGGUGCCCCCCUCCACGAUAUUACACCUCGGUCAUAUUGUAGCAGUGCUUAGGCGAAGCCCUGCGACGGUUGAACAUCAAGAUCAUCACCACGCCGUCGUGCUGACGGAACUCAUCCCCGAAGCUUUGCUGGAUCGGAGCCCGGGGAUCGUUAUCGAGCCGAACGUGUGCCAAGAACUCGGAGGUGCCGGAGUAACGGUGCUUGGAUCGGUCGGACCGUGAAGACGUACGACUACAUCAACCACGUUGUGCUAACGCUUCCGUUGUCGAUCUACAAGGGUACGUAGAUCACACUCUCCCCUCUCGUUGCUAUGCACCACCAUGAUCUUGCGUGUGCGUAGGAAAUUUUUUGAAAUUACUACAUUCCCCAACAAGCCGCGCACACAUGACCGGAUCCGGUCCACCGCGGGCCAGAUCCGGCAGGAUCCAACAUGCCUCGCCCGCCCCCCAUCGGAUCGAAGCCAAAUCCGCGGCCGGCAGGCACGUCGCCCAUGCAAGGGGCGAGCACCACCACCCCGCGCCUCACAGAGCACCUCCGCCGGACCCCCAACCGAAACCAGCAGAUCCCCGACGCCCCCGAAGCACCGGGUGCCAACACAGCGAGGAGUCGCCGGUUCGAGGGAGGCCAGCGGGAGGGAGCCGCAAGCGCACCCAUCCCCACCGUCCCUGAUGCGUCUCCAACGUAUCUAUAAUUUUUGAUUGCUCCAUGCUAUAUUAUCUACUGUUUUGGACAUUAUUGGGCUUUAUUAUCCACUUUUAUAUUAUUUUUGGGACUAACCUAUUAACCGGAGGCCCAGCCCAGAAUUGUUGUUUUUUGCGUGUUUUAGGGUUUCGAAGAAAAGGAUUAUCAAACGGAGUCUAAACGGAAUGAAACCUUCGAGAAUGUGAUUUUCUCAACGAACAAGGCCCAGUAGACUUAGACCCUACGUCAAGACACAAAAGAGGAGGCCACGAGGUAGGGGCGCGCCUACCCCCCCCCCCCCCAGGCGCGCCCUCCACCCUCGUGGGCCCCAUGUUGCUCCACCGACGUACUCCUUCCUCCUAUAUAUACCUACGUACCCCCAAACGAUCAGAAACAGAGCCAAAAACCUAAUUCCACCGCCGCAACUUUCUGUAUCCACGAGAUCCCAUCUUGGGGCCUGUUCCGGAGCUCCACCGAAGGGGGCAUCAAUCACAGAGGGCUUCUACAUCAACACCAUAGCCCCUCCGAUGAAGUGUGAGUAGUUUACCUCAGACCUACGGGUCCAUAGUUAUUAGCUAGAUGACUUCUUCUCUCUUUUGAAUCACAAUACAAUGUUCUCCCCCUCUCUUAGUGGAGAACUAUUCGAUGUAAUCAUCUUUUUUGCGGUGUGUUUGUUGAGACCGAUGAAUUGUGAGUUUAUGAUCAAGUCUAUCUAUGAACAAUAUUUGAAUCUUCUCUGAAUUCUUUUAUGUAUGAUUGGUUAUCUUUGCAAGUCUCUUCGAAUUAUCAGUUUGGUUUGGCCUACUAGAUUGAUCUUUCUUGCAAUGGGAGAAGUGCUUAACUUUGGGUUCAAUCUUGCGGUGUCCUUUCCCAGUGACAGUAGGGGCAGCAAGGCACGUAUUAUAUUGUUGCCAUCGAGGAUAACAAGAUGGGGUUUUCAUCAUAUUGCAUGAGUCUAUCUCUCUACAUCAUGUCAUCUUGCUUAAGGCAUUACUCUGUUUUUAACUUAAUACUCUAGAUGCAUGUUGGAUAGCGGUCGAUGAGUGGAGUAAUAGUAUUAGAUGCAGGCAGGAGUCGGUCUACUUGUCUCGGACGUGAUGCCUAUACUUACAUAUUAUCAUAACUAUGGUCAAUUCUGUCAAUUGCUCAACAGUAAUUUGUUCACCCACCGUAGAAUACUUAUGCUCUCGAGAGAACCCACUAGUGAAACCUAUGGCCCCCUGGUCUAUCUUCAUCAUAUUAACCUCCUACUACUUAGUUAUUUACUUUGCUUUUUACCUUGCCUUUAUUUUACUUUGCAUCUUUAUCACAAAAAUGUCAAAAAUAUUAUCUUAUCAUAUCUAUCAGAUCUCACUCUCGUAAGUGGUCGUGUAGGGAUUGACAACCCCUAUUCGCGUUGGUUGCGAGAAUUUAUUUGUUUUGUGCAGGUACGAGGGAUUCGCGCGUAGCCUCCUACUGGAUUGAUAUCUUGGUUCUCAAAAAUUGAGGGAAAUACUUACGCUACUUUGUUGCAUCAUCCCUUCCUCUUCGGGGAAAACCAACGCAAUGCUUAAGAGGUAGCAGUCCCCGGCCACCGCGAUCGAAGAAGUGACGCGCGCUGGAGUCACGCCGCGCCGCCCGCGCCACACAGAGCUCCCCGGGCUCGUGGGCGCUCUGCGCAAAGAACGACGCCCCGCCGCCGCCAGAUCUGAGCGGGCUUUGCCCGGCAGGAGCUUUGGGCGGCGGCGGGAGGGAGAGNNNNNNNNNNNNNNNNNNNNNNNNNNNNNNNNNNNNNNNNNNNNNNNNNNNNNNNNNNNNNNNNNNNNNNNNNNNNNNNNNNNNNNNNNNNNNNNNNNNNNNNNNNNNNNNNNNNNNNNNNNNNNNNNNNNNNNNNNNNNNNNNNNNNNNNNNNNNNNNNNNNNNNNNNNNNNGGAGGGAGAGGGAGUAGCGGGAGGGGGGGGGGGGGUCGGCCGGGGGGAGGGGUCGCCUCCCUGGGGAGGACGGCGCGGGGACUCUCCUUCUGUCUGAUGUUAAUUUCAGUUUGGUUAUACGCGGUUAAUAUGGGCAAGGGAGGUCAUAUUAUCAUUUAUUUUACACAGAAACGGGAAACCAAAAGUGGACAGCUUCAAUGAGAACGCCGCCGUACGUGCUCCGUGGACCACAUCACACUAUGAGGAUGUCGCUGGAAAAGAUAGUUCGAGUGGUGGCCGGCGAAGACCCAUGGAUCCAAAAGGGGCAGGAGGGCCGUAGUUCAUCGAGAAUCUCCGUGCACCACCCACGCCGGAGACGUUGAUGAUGGUCGGCCAGGACCUGGUAGGGAGAGUGUCGGGCGGUGCUAAUCCUUGAGAGAACGACAUGCGCCGCCUACACGUUAAUUAGACCAGCACGCGUGACCGACACUUUAAAUUCUAGCGUGCCAUCGUCGGUAGAUCCAUUUUUAGAUGCUCAGCGUUGGUAAAUCUUUCAUACUACUUACUUUCUCGGAUCCAAAUUAAUUGCAAAUAGAGGCCGUGUCAGUUAAUUCGGCUGGGAGGGACUACUAGUACUUUUUCUGCCUGCGAAAAGCCUGAUAUGGACUGGUAUAUGAACGAAAUUAGCUCAAGUCGAAAGGGGAUUAUUUGGUUAUGGGCGCAUGAAUGGCACGAUGGUGCAUGUACACGUGGUGGUACAAUACAAAUACACCCAUGCACGGACUCGUUCCAUGAAUCUGCGUGGUCCUCCGCAUCUUUGCUGCCGAGGCAUCCUUCCUACUACUACGUGCGUAUAUACAGUAAAAGCUCGCAUGUACCAACAGAUCAUAAAAGAUAAUUUAGGGCGUGUUCAGUUCAGUAGGCAGUAUCCCUUCGCUUUUUUUAUGACAAGUAUUUUCGGACGGAAGAAGUAGGUACUAGUACUAAAACUUCUCCCGUUCCGUAUUCGGUGGGUGACCUUGUCUCAGCAAUUCUCUGAUGUGGAGGGAUUGCACUGUAGCUAGUAUUCAUACCAUGAUACCAGUACCCUACAAGAGAAACAGUGUCCAACUUUCGAAUGCCUCUCGCGUGGUACGGUCGUAGAGCAUAACACCACCCAACGUACCCAACGUAGUACUGCAAGAUACUCCUAUACGAGUAGAGAAGAACUAGCCGUAAAACCACAACGUGGCACAUGGUCUCCCCUCUCCCUCCGGCCCUCGAUCGAUCCCGGAUACGAUGCUCCCAUGCAUAUCAACCUCCGAAUCAUAACCAGACCGACGUGCGGAGCACCUACACUACGCCGCCGGUCACGGAGUUCACGCAUGGCCGGCGUGCCGUGCCUGCCUCUUUCUAGGCCUUUAAUUGGAGGGAGCGCUCACAUGAAACUUCGCAUAAAUGCUGACGGCCAUACCGGAAAGGAAAGGAGUCUACCAACCGAUGCAAAAUAAGGAUAUCUUGGGGAUUUUGUCAUAUCUUUGCGUCUCAAAGUCUUGCCAUGUUUGUAAGUCUUGCAAUGUUCUCGGAAGAUUAUGAUGUUACAAUCUACCAACCGACUAGUAGCCCAACUAUAGCUAGUCCAUUAGGCUGGUUGAAAACUAGUUUAGCAUCUCGUGUUUGCUUGUUUACGGUAAAUAAUUACAAUGGUUUUGUCUUUCCACAGUCCAUCGAGAAAUGAUUUAAAUAAGUCACCGCUAAGGACCGUAUAGGCUAAACAAAAGAUUCGUGUCUACAUCGGCACACACGGAAAGACCAUCCAUUUCCUGCGAGAAUAAAGAGGGUUCCAAAACGUGUAUCGUAGGUGCACAAGUCUUGAUUUAUGAAAGCAACAAUAUAAUGGGAAAUACCCAAUGGAACCUAGGUCUUAGGCGCAUCCACAUUGAAAAAAUAUUCUAUAAAAAUUCAAACAGUUCUGAUUUUUUUAAUGAACAUGGUCUAGUGUUAUAUAUUCACUGUAAAGUUUCAUGAAGAAAUGACUUUGAUCUUCUAUGCAAAGAAAGGAAAACAAUUCUAUACAAAAGUUACUAUUCAAGUUUUUUGAAGUUAAUUAUUUCUUCACAAGAAAACAGAAAUCAUUUCUUUGCGCAAAUUCCAUACGUGAGUAGAACAUUCGACCAUGUUCGGCAACAUUUUUUUUCAAACUGGUUGAUUUUUUUUUGGUAUUUUCUAAAAUCGAAAUGCUUUAGCAGGUGCAUCUAGAACCGUAUUGCAAAAAUCCGCACCACGGUAUAAGAACCGUCAUUCAUAGGAAAUCUCAUGAGAUUAAUUUGGGGAUUUUAGAUGUUACUGAUAUAUGUUUUAUACACUUGAUCAAACAUAUAUAGACAUGAAUGGAUUAAUUAAUUUGAAACAAGCCCGUCCUAACUCGAACCGAAAAAAAAAAAGAAACAGACCCGCCACUUCAGUUAUUUUUUUUGAACCGAAGGUAGUGCUCGCGCUGACGAAUGGUUACGCUUCCGCCAGUACAACAUUAUCGUGGGUGACGAAAUUGAAGGC
RNAcentral lists this long non-coding RNA (39461 nucleotides) under Triticum aestivum (bread wheat). RNAcentral's name for it is "long non-coding RNA (TAES_LNC024799)". The record is from RNAcentral. Lineage: Eukaryota; Viridiplantae; Streptophyta; Magnoliopsida; Poales; Poaceae.